AAAACUUAAAAAAAAAAAAAAAAAAAAUCUGUUCUUAUCAGUUUCAUAUCUGAUACGUCCCCUAUCUGGGGACCAUAUAUUACAUUGAUUUUUGGAAUAGGGAGAUGGAAUAGGGGCUUGCUCCGUCCACUCCACGCAUCGACCUGGUAUUGCAGUACCUCCAGGAACGGUGCACCACCU
This 180-nucleotide small nuclear RNA is filed under the name Oncorhynchus mykiss (rainbow trout). RNAcentral describes it as "U2 spliceosomal RNA (ENSOMYG00000051271.1)". It matches the Rfam family "U2 spliceosomal RNA". From Rfam's summary of the family: U2 is a small nuclear RNA (snRNA) component of the spliceosome (involved in pre-mRNA splicing). Complementary binding between U2 snRNA (in an area lying towards the 5' end but 3' to hairpin I) and the branchpoint sequence (BPS) of the intron results the bulging out of an unpaired adenosine, on the BPS, which initiates a nucleophilic attack at the intronic 5' splice site, thus starting the first of two transesterification reactions that mediate splicing. The record is from RNAcentral. Lineage: Eukaryota; Metazoa; Chordata; Actinopteri; Salmoniformes; Salmonidae.